GGAUGCCCUGAGCACAGGCUGAAGCAGUUUUGAAGGUGCCUGAGAAAGCCCAUGGCGGACUUGCAGAGAGACACUGGUGGUUGCCCAAGCUCUGCAGAAAGCUCGUUUGAUGAGACUGCUUCCGUGAGAUUACACUGUCACCUUUGGCUCCAGGAGACCUUGUACCCAGUGUGGGAGAGGAAGGAGCAGCAAGAGAAACUCUGGUAUUCUCCUGCCAUGGAUGUGAACUGACCCCAUGGAGUGAUGCCUAGAAGUGUCCAGUCAUUGUCAUCAAACCUGAAAUCAUCUUGGACUCCAGGAAAAGCGGAGCCUAGCAGACUCCCCCACGAUGGCAUCAGAGGCGGCUCCUGUCCCCCUCCAAGUAAGAACAAUCAUCUCCUGGGAACCGAAUUGCCCCUCAAGCUGUAAGGACUCCUCCAGAGCUAUGAAACCAGGACUGAGAUAAUGAGCAACCAGAUCCCAGCCUACCCUACCGUAGCACCUCAGAAGCUAGGCCUGUUGUUUUCCUAACAGGACAGUCUGAUCUUCAUUGUCAGAUCAGUUUCUGAAGCUGAAGUCCCUUCCCAAUACUUUUACUUUUGUUUGUUUAGGGGGUGGGCUUGAUCAUUGUCACAGCUGUGUCUCUCUUUUCUCCUACUUUCUGUUUUCUCUUGCUUUCCAUUUAAAGUUUUAUCCUGUAAAUUUGUGCCGAAUGCCUCAGUUUUAAUUUCCAUUGUCACUGAAGCUAGUGAUAAAAUGAUAUUGUAAAGAAAACCGGUGUAUUAAUCAACUGCAGGCUACCAUAACAAAAUGCUAAAGACUGGGUGACUUAAACAACAGAAAUGUAUUUCUCACAGUUAUGGACCCUAGGAAAUCCAAGAGCAAGGCUUCAGCAGAUUUGGUUUCUGAUGAGGUCUCCCUUCCUUGUUUACAGACUGUCACCUGUUCCUGCGUCAUCACAUGGGGCAGGGUAGAGGGAGAGGAGUCUUGCUCUCCCUAUAAAGCUGUAGCCCUAUCUGAUUAGGGCCCCAUACUAUGCCCACA
Molecule: long non-coding RNA, 1023 nt
Organism: Chinchilla lanigera (long-tailed chinchilla)
Lineage: Eukaryota; Metazoa; Chordata; Mammalia; Rodentia; Chinchillidae
Exons: 4
Source: RefSeq, a predicted model, not a curated record